AGUUUAUAAGUAUAAGUCUCCGCCACCACCAGUUUAUAAGUACAAGUCACCACCACCACCACCUCCCGUCUAUAAAUCCCCACCACCACCCGUUUACAAGUAUAAAUCUCCACCACCACCUGUCUACAAGUACAAGUCUCCUCCACCACCACCUCCAGUUUACAAAUACAAAUCUCCACCACCACCUGUCUAUAAGUACAAGUCUCCUCCACCACCACCUCCAGUUUACAAAUACAAAUCUCCACCACCACCUGUCUAUAAGUACAAGUCUCCUCCACCACCACCUCCAGUUUACAAAUACAAAUCUCCACCACCACCUGUCUAUAAGUACAAGUCUCCUCCACCACCACCUCCAGUUUAUAAGUACAAAUCUCCACCACCACCCGUAUAUAAGUAUAAGUCUCCUCCACCACCACCCCCAGUUUACAAGUACAAAUCUCCACCACCACCUGUCUAUAAAUACAAGUCUCCACCACCACCAACUCCGGUUUAUAAGUAUAAAUCUCCACCACCACCGGUCUACAAGUACAAGUCUCCACCACCACCAACUCCAGUUUACAAGUACAAAUCUCCACCACCACCUGUCUAUAAAUACAAGUCUCCACCACCACCAACUCCGGUUUAUAAGUAUAAAUCUCCACCACCACCGGUCUACAAGUACAAGUCUCCACCACCACCAACUCCAGUUUACAAGUACAAAUCUCCACCACCGCCUGUCUAUAAGUACAAAUCUCCACCACCACCAACUCCAGUUUACAAGUACAAAUCUCCACCACCACCCGUUUAUAAGUACAAGUCUCCCCCACCACCCGUCUACAAGUACAAGUCUCCACCACCACCCGUUUACAAAUACAAGUCUCCACCACCUCCAGUCUACAAGUACAAAUCUCCACCGCCACCCGUCUACAAGUACAAGUCUCCACCACCUCCAGUCUACAAGUACAAAUCUCCACCGCCACCCGUCUACAAGUACAAGUCUCCACCACCUCCAGUCUACAAGUACAAAUCUCCACCGCCACCUGUUUACAAGUACAAAUCUCCUCCACCACCUCCUCCAGUUUACAAGUACAAGUCACCACCACCACCAGUUUACAAAUACAAGUCACCACCACCACCCGUUUACAAAUACAAAUCACCCCCACCCCCAGUUCACAAGUCUCCAGCCCCUUACUAUUACACUUCUCCAC
This 1187-nucleotide long non-coding RNA is filed under the name Solanum tuberosum (potato). RNAcentral describes it as "long non-coding RNA (STUB_LNC005069)". Lineage: Eukaryota; Viridiplantae; Streptophyta; Magnoliopsida; Solanales; Solanaceae. The record is from RNAcentral.